CCCGACUCACUCAGCCUCCUGCCUGGAGCUGCCGUGGCCCUGGGACAGGAGAGCACUGGUGGAUGGUGGGAUGGGGAUGGUUUUCUGAGGUAUGCGGGGACCCACUGCCAGCUGCCUGACCCCCACGGCCACGAGGACCCUCCUUCCCAGCACAGCACCCAAAGACAAACAUGGUGCAUGGGCCAAGAGCUGAAAGAGGGCGCAGAUAGGGCAGGAGAGACCACGCACACCACCUGCAAGAGAGGGAAAAUAACAGGAAAAUUCUCUAAUUAACGUGAUUACUUUUUUCCUGCUCCUCUUAGCUAUUUAACAGCAGGCAAACCGGACUCCCCCAAGGUUGCUCCAUCCUAUGAAAACCUAAAACUGACGGCCCGGAGGGAGCAGCUCUGCCUCCUGCACAAGCACCUCUCCCUGCACCAGCUGGGGCUGGCGACCAGCUGUGCCUCGGCCGAGCGGGACGGCGGCAGCUUCUCCAGCCACUUGCUCAGGGCCAAGGACACCGACGGCAGGACACGGCCCCGCGAGGGCUGGGAAGAUCGUGCAGCCUUGCUGAAGCUCCCCGCCGCCAUGGUCUACAUGAGGGAUCAGCACCUGGAGGAGAAGCUGCAGCUCCUCAAGCAGCGGGAGCGGCUGCAGCAUUUCCUCCUGCAGCGGUGCCAGCCGGGCCAGCGGGCAGACGGAGACCCAAAACCCGUGCCCAAGGAGCGGCCGCUCUCCCCGUGGCCGAGCAUCACGCCAGGAUGCAAGGAGGAACGGUCCUUCCUGGAGGAUGCCGCGGAUGGGAAGGAGGAGAAGCAGCUCUGGCUGAGCCAGGACAUCUCUGAGCUGCGAGAAAAGGUGAAGGCGGCAAGGGACGAUGGUGCAGACACGCCGCUGGAUCUCUCAGACUCCGGCCGUGGCAGGGAAACGGGCUGGCAGAGCCGCCGGCAGCUGGGGGGGGGCAGUAGCCCUGGGCUGAGCCCCGGGGAGAGCCCCGCUUUGCCGGUCACCCACAGGAGACACGGGGCAGAGCAGGACGGUUUGUGCUUCCACUACCGCUGGCCCAAUGCCACCCGGGCACUGCCUGGUGCUGCCGAGGAGGAAGAGGAGGAGGAGGAGGAGGAGGAUGCAGCUGUGCUCGCUCUCCCACGGGCACAUCUGACAAACAAGUCCACGCCGAGCGACCCAGAGGCCCUUCCAGAGACGGGGGUGAGAGUGGCUGCCAGUGCACAGAAGGGAGAAGCAGGUAAAAAGCCCCAGGCAAAGGUGACAUUUGAGAAGGCAAGAGCAAAAGGUGCAUUUUAGUGAAGGUGUCUCACAGCCGGGAGCUCUCUGUGCCGGGCUCUGCAGGCACCUGCAGCCCCCACCGAUAACCAGCAUGGGUCACCCUUCCUGGGACCCAGGCUCCCAGCUCUUUUGGG
This 1400-nucleotide long non-coding RNA is filed under the name Calidris pygmaea (Spoon-billed sandpiper). RNAcentral describes it as "lncRNA (ENSCPGG00000009808.1)". Lineage: Eukaryota; Metazoa; Chordata; Aves; Charadriiformes; Scolopacidae. The record is from RNAcentral.